UGGUGGUGGAGCCAGAUAUGGCCGACGAUGAGGUUCAAACGGUGAGGAAUUAGAAAAAAAUUGAAAAACAGGGGACUGCCCCCUCUCCUUGAAUUUUCUCUGAUCAUUGGCCGAUCAUCGGUGGCUAUGACCUUCGAAGAAGAAAGUUAAAGAGGUGGGGGUUAUGACUCAUGGGUGUGGCACCAUGGGCGGCAAUGCUGGUGGCCGAAAA
RNAcentral lists this long non-coding RNA (211 nucleotides) under Elaeis guineensis (African oil palm). Its description in RNAcentral is "long non-coding RNA (EGUI_LNC009422)". The record is from RNAcentral. Lineage: Eukaryota; Viridiplantae; Streptophyta; Magnoliopsida; Arecales; Arecaceae.